AGGACAGCAGCUUGGCAUUGGAAGCUAUGAUGUGCACAUGGACCCUAUGAAGUGGAAAAAUUGGAAGUGACGAGGAUAACUGGUGUGAACGUCAUGCUAGAUGACAGCUGUCUGUUUGAAGGACUGCCAGAGGACUGCCCUCUCUUUGAAGGAUUGCCCUGUCGAAGGAUAUAGUAAAGAUAAAGAGCCAUGGAAGCUUUUGGGACAGCAGACUGGGAAGGCAGUCUGCCUUGGGGCACUGCAAAAGGAACAACAUGAAAGACCUCAAGGGAAAAAGAAGAAGAAGGUAUUCGCUGUGAAAUGAAUGUUGCAAUAAAAGAGCUACAUAAGCUUUGGCCCUUGGUGCUAAUAGCCAAGUCUACAUGUUCCUGUCAACCACAUUCCUUCCUUGAAAAAUGAGUUCUUCUUCUCAGAGAUUAGCAUACACAGCAAGAAACCUAUGAAAAGGAUAGAAGUCCAGGGGUCAAAGUUGUCUCUUACUUUUUAAAUGAUGUCAGAUAU
Long non-coding RNA from Varanus komodoensis (Komodo dragon), 501 nucleotides. RefSeq lists it as uncharacterized. The transcript is spliced from 3 exons. Lineage: Eukaryota; Metazoa; Chordata; Lepidosauria; Squamata; Varanidae. The record is from RefSeq and is a predicted model, not a curated record.